RNAcentral lists this ribosomal RNA (479 nucleotides) under Parabacteroides goldsteinii. RNAcentral describes it as "bacterial SSU rRNA". It matches the Rfam family "Bacterial small subunit ribosomal RNA", at positions 54 to 525 of the family's 1533-position model. Lineage: Bacteria; Pseudomonadati; Bacteroidota; Bacteroidia; Bacteroidales; Tannerellaceae. The record is from RNAcentral.
CAUGCAAGUCGAGGGGCAGCACGGUGUAGCAAUACAUUGGUGGCGACCGGCGCACGGGUGAGUAACGCGUAUGCAACCUACCUAUCAGAGGGGAAUAACCCGGCGAAAGUCGGACUAAUACCGCAUAAAACAGGGGUUCCACAUGGAAAUAUUUGUUAAAGAUUUAUCGCUGAUAGAUGGGCAUGCGUUCCAUUAGAUAGUUGGUGAGGUAACGGCUCACCAAGUCUACGAUGGAUAGGGGUUCUGAGAGGAAGGUCCCCCACACUGGUACUGAGACACGGACCAGACUCCUACGGGAGGCAGCAGUGAGGAAUAUUGGUCAAUGGGCGAGAGCCUGAACCAGCCAAGUCGCGUGAAGGAUGAAGGAUCUAUGGUUUGUAAACUUCUUUUAUAUGGGAAUAAAGUGAGGAACGUGUUCCUUUUUGUAUGUACCAUAUGAAUAAGCAUCGGCUAACUCCGUGCCAGCCGCCGCGGUAAUU